ACGUGGCGGCAGCUAAACAUGCGGUAAGCGAAAGCACUUCGGUGCUAGUGCGUAGCGGACGGGUGAGUAACGCGUAGGAAUCUACCCAGUAGUGGGGGACAACUUAGGGAAACUUAAGCUAAUACCGCAUACGCCCUGAGGGGGAAAGCGGGGGAUCUUCGGACCUCGCGCUAUUGGAAGAGCCUGCGUUAGAUUAGCUAGUUGGUGGGGUAAAGGCUCACCAAGGCGACGAUCUAUAGCUGGUCUGAGAGGAUGAUCAGCCACACUGGGACUGAGACACGGCCCAGACUCCUACGGGAGGCAGCAGUGGGGAAUAUUGCGCAAUGGGCGAAAGCCUGACGCAGCCAUGCCGCGUGUGUGAAGAAGGCCCUAGGGUUGUAAAGCACUUUCAAUUGGGAGGAAGGGGUUAAAGUUAAUAGCUUUAACUUUUGACGUUACCUUUAGAAGAAGCACCGGCUAACUCCGUGCCAGCAGCCGCGGUAAUACGGAGGGUGCGAGCGUUAAUCGGAAUUACUGGGCGUAAAGCGCGCGUAGGCGGUUUGUUAAGUCGGAUGUGAAAGCCCCGGGCUCAACCUGGGAACUGCACCCGAUACUGGCCGACUUGAGUGCGAGAGAGGGAGGUAGAAUUCCAAGUGUAGCGGUGAAAUGCGUAGAUAUUCGGAGGAACAUCAGUGGCGAAGGG
RNAcentral lists this ribosomal RNA (682 nucleotides) under uncultured Gammaproteobacteria bacterium. RNAcentral's name for it is "bacterial SSU rRNA". It matches the Rfam family "Bacterial small subunit ribosomal RNA", at positions 33 to 722 of the family's 1533-position model. Lineage: Bacteria; Pseudomonadati; Pseudomonadota; Gammaproteobacteria. The record is from RNAcentral.